Felis catus (domestic cat) is the source of this 85-nucleotide transfer RNA. It matches the Rfam family "tRNA". Rfam says of the family: Transfer RNA (tRNA) molecules are approximately 80 nucleotides in length. The record is from Rfam. NCBI's taxonomy places the organism in Eukaryota, Metazoa, Chordata, Mammalia, Carnivora, Felidae.
GCCUGGGUGGCUCAGUCGGUUAAGCAUCUGACUUUGGCUCAGGUCAUGAUCUCAAGGUUCGUGGGUUCGAGCCCCGCGUCGGGCU